GCGAACGCUGGCGGCAGGCUUAACACAUGCAAGUCGAGCGCUCGUAGCAAUACGAGAGCGGCAGACGGGAGAGUAACACGUGGGAACGUACCCUUUGGUUCGGAACAACCCAGGGAAACUUGGGCUAAUACCGGAUAAGUCCGCAAGGAAAAAGAUUUAUCGCCGAAGGAUCGGCCCGCGUCUGAUUAGCUUGUUGGUGAGGUAACGGCUCACCAAGGCGACGAUCAGUAGCUGGUCUGAGAGGAUGAUCAGCCUCACUGGGACUGAGACACGGCCCAGACUCCUACGGGAGGCAGCAGUGGGGAAUAUUGGACAAUGGGCGCAAGCCUGAUCCAGCCAUGCCGCGUGGGUGAUGAAGGCCCUAGGGUUGUAAAGCCCUUUCGGCGGGGAAGAUACUGACGGUACCCGCAGAAGAAGCCCCGGCUAACUUCGU
This 433-nucleotide ribosomal RNA is filed under the name uncultured bacterium. RNAcentral's name for it is "bacterial SSU rRNA". It matches the Rfam family "Bacterial small subunit ribosomal RNA", at positions 29 to 506 of the family's 1533-position model. The record is from RNAcentral.